GGGGGUUUGGUGAAGUGGUAUCACGGCGGUCUCCAAAACCGCAGUCGGGAGUUCAAUCCUCUCAACCCCCG
This 71-nucleotide transfer RNA is filed under the name bacterium. Its description in RNAcentral is "tRNA-Trp". It matches the Rfam family "tRNA". Rfam says of the family: Transfer RNA (tRNA) molecules are approximately 80 nucleotides in length. The record is from RNAcentral.